This 460-nucleotide ribosomal RNA is filed under the name uncultured bacterium. RNAcentral's name for it is "partial 16S ribosomal RNA". It matches the Rfam family "Bacterial small subunit ribosomal RNA", at positions 338 to 795 of the family's 1533-position model. The record is from RNAcentral.
CCUACGGGUGGCAGCAGUGAGGAAUAUUGGUCAAUGGCCGUAAGGCUGACCCAGCAAAGUAGCGUGAGGGAAGACUGCCCUAUGGGUUGUAACCCUCUUUUAUACGGAGGUAAAGGUGUCCGCGUGUGGAUGUUUGCAGGUACCGCAUGAAUAAAGACCGGCUCAGUACGUGCCAGGAGCCGAGGUAAUACGGAAGGUCCGGGCGUUAUCCGGAUUUAUUGGGUUGAAGGGGAGCGUAGGCCGGUCUUUAAGCGUGCCGUGAAAUUUUGUGGCUCAACCAUGAGAGUGCGGCGCGAACUGGAGACCUUGAGUGCGCGGAAGGCAGGCGGAAUUCGUGGUGUAGCGGUGAAAUGCUUAGAUAUCACGAAGAACCCCGAUGGCGAAGGCAGCCUGCCGCAGCGUUACUGACGCUGAAGCUCGAAAGCGCGGGGAUCGAACAGGAUUAGAUACCCUGGUAGUC